GCGGAUAUGGUGGAAUUGGCAGACACGAUAGAUUUAGGUUCUAUUCCGAGAGGGUGCAGGUUCAAGUCCUGUUAUCCGCA
This is a transfer RNA of Clostridium sp. CAG:510, 80 nucleotides long. It matches the Rfam family "tRNA". From Rfam's summary of the family: Transfer RNA (tRNA) molecules are approximately 80 nucleotides in length. Their secondary structure includes four short double-helical elements and three loops (D, anti-codon, and T loops). The record is from Rfam. NCBI's taxonomy places the organism in Bacteria, Bacillati, Bacillota, Clostridia, Eubacteriales, Clostridiaceae.